Molecule: non-coding RNA, 30 nt
Filed under: Mus musculus (house mouse)
Lineage: Eukaryota; Metazoa; Chordata; Mammalia; Rodentia; Muridae
Source: RNAcentral
UGAAAAGUUAUGGGAUGCUCUAUUCAAAAC